AUUGAACGCUGGCGGCAGGCCUAACACAUGCAAGUCGAGCGGAUGAAGGGAGCUUGCUCCUGGAUUCAGCGGCGGACGGGUGAGUAAUGCCUAGGAUUCUGCCUGGUAGUGGGGGAUAACGUCCGGAAACGGGCGCUAAUACCGCAUACGUCCUGAGGGAGAAAGUGGGGGAUCUUCGGACCUCACGCUAUCAGAUGAGCCUAGGUCGGAUUAGCUAGUUGGUGGGGUAAAGGCCUACCAAGGCGACGAUCCGUAACUGGUCUGAGAGGAUGAUCAGUCACACUGGAACUGAGACACGGUCCAGACUCCUACGGGAGGCAGCAGUGGGGAAUAUUGGACAAUGGGCGAAAGCCUGAUCCAGCCAUGCCGCGUGUGUGAAGAAGGUCUUCGGAUUGUAAAGCACUUUAAGUAGGGAGGAAGGGCAGUAAGUUAAUACCUUGCUGUUUUGACGUUACCAACAGAAUAAGCACCGGCUAACUUCGUG
RNAcentral lists this ribosomal RNA (484 nucleotides) under uncultured bacterium. Its description in RNAcentral is "partial 16S ribosomal RNA". It matches the Rfam family "Bacterial small subunit ribosomal RNA", at positions 30 to 507 of the family's 1533-position model. The record is from RNAcentral.